Molecule: ribosomal RNA, 253 nt
Filed under: uncultured bacterium
Lineage: Bacteria
Description: partial 16S ribosomal RNA
Rfam family: Bacterial small subunit ribosomal RNA
Source: RNAcentral
UACAGAGGGUGCGAGCGUUAAUCGGAAUUACUGGGCGUAAAGCGCACGUAGGUGGCGACGUAAGUCGGGUGUGAAAGCCCCGGGCUCAACCUGGGAAUUGCAUUCGAGACUGCAUUGCUGGAGUACGGAAGAGGAAGGCGGAAUUCCCGGUGUAGCGGUGAAAUGCGUAGAUAUCGGGAGGAACAUCAGUGGCGAAGGCGGCCUUCUGGUCCAGUACUGACGCUCAAGUGCGAAAGCGUGGGGAGCAAACAGG